UCUCAGCUUGGGGAUUGUUUCCCUUGGAGCGUUUAGUGAGCCCUGUCCUUGGAAAGGGAUUCAAUACUGAGCCAGCAUCUAUGAGAGCUGGGAUGGAGCUCUGAAAACAAACUCUGGAAGCUCAGAUUUAAGGGUUUUUCCACUUCAGUUCUCGAUAUGUGAACUAUAUGGACAAGAUAAGGGCAUUGCUCAUCGAGAGUGUGACAGGCUGGCAUUAGCCUGCCCAGAAUUUAAGUCUGAUGCUUUGUUUGGACGAAUUAUAAAUCUGGUCUCUAAGAGUGUCUCAACAAGAAGACACAGCCCUUCACAGUAAUGAAGAAGGAUAGUGUAGAAGACACAGCCCUUUAACAAUAAUGUAGUGUAAUGAAAUCUGACCCCUUGCACACUCAGUAAUGCAUAGUCAAGACAGAAGCACUAGUGCGAUGUUAUGCAGUGCUUUUGGAAGGAUGGAACAAGUUAUUCUUGUUGUGCUCUGGUUGCUAGUGUUGUGGUGGUGGUUUGGAUAUUAAAAAUCCCUUAGCUCAAUAGCAAUGAUGCUAAAAUAGAAGGUUUAUUCACUGCACCUGUCUGAACGUUCUGUAUAUUCUCCCUUGCUACCCUCCCUUGGGCUGGCUGUGUGUUUGGCUGUGGAGGAAGUGGUGAUAUUGCUGGUUUAGCACUGGUGUGGCUGACUGAGGAAAGUGUGAAUGACAAAUCUGGUCUGUGGAGAUCUAGCUUAGGCUUCUGCAUUGUUCCUUAAACUGGUGCUCUCUGACUUUAAUUUCAGCUGAGAUACAUGUGUGCUUUCAUUUAUUAUCCACUAAAGCAGUGCUUAAGGAUUCCAUUGUGCAUGUGGAGAGUGCUAGGAAAAAGCUGGGUUCAUUUGGACGUGGAAAGCUGUGCUGAUAAUUUGCAGUUAAUGCUACUCACAGGUGCUUGCAUCUGUGGGUUUUUAUUUUCUCAUAACU
Molecule: long non-coding RNA, 947 nt
Organism: Gallus gallus (chicken)
Lineage: Eukaryota; Metazoa; Chordata; Aves; Galliformes; Phasianidae
Source: Ensembl